RNAcentral lists this ribosomal RNA (459 nucleotides) under uncultured bacterium. RNAcentral describes it as "SSU rRNA". It matches the Rfam family "Bacterial small subunit ribosomal RNA", at positions 26 to 518 of the family's 1533-position model. The record is from RNAcentral.
AGAAUCAACGCUGGCGGCGUGCCUAACACAUGCAAGUCGCACGAGAAAGGGACUUCGGUCUUGAGUAAAGUGGCGCACGGGUGAGUAACACGUGACUAAUCUACCCUCGAGUGGGGAAUAACUGAGAGAAAUCUUAGCUAAUACCGCAUAACACUUACGAGUCAAAGCAGCAAUGCGCUUGGGGAGGAGGUCGCGGCCGAUUAGCUAGUUGGCGGGGUAAUGGCCCACCAAGGCGAUGAUCGGUAUCCGGCCUGAGAGGGCGCACGGACACACUGGAACUGAAACACGGUCCAGACUCCUACGGGAGGCAGCAGUGGGGAAUUUUGCGCAAUGGGGGAAACCCUGACGCAGCAACGCCGCGUGGAGGAUGAAGUAUCUUGGUACGUAAACUCCUUUCGAUGGGGAAGAUAAUGACGGUACCCAUAGAAGAAGCCCCGGCUAACUCGUGCCAGCAGCCGC